Molecule: long non-coding RNA, 519 nt
Filed under: Papio anubis (olive baboon)
Lineage: Eukaryota; Metazoa; Chordata; Mammalia; Primates; Cercopithecidae
Description: lncRNA (ENSPANG00000046276.1)
Source: RNAcentral
GAAAUAUGGGUAGCUGAGACCUUAAAGAACUGAGCAAGAGUUGCCCUCUCAGCAAAUCUCAACUCUCGAGUCACCCUUCUUCCUGCACUGAAGGAAAUCCUGGCAGCUUUUCUCUAGCAGGAACCACCAGAUGGGAUGAGAGGAUAAUGAAUUUCUUUCCUGCACCAAUUCGGGACCAAGGGUGGCCAGAACCCAUCCCAGCAGCUCCAGGCACAAGGUAGGAACCACACCUGGACAGGACACUGUCCCACGGGUGUAAUUUCACACCUGCGCCCACAGUCACCUGUGAGAAUGGGAUCUAAAGCUAACUACUCACAAGGCACAUCCUUGGAAUGUAGGAGCAAAGUGCAGUAUCCAGAGAAAACCCACGCUGGCUGGGGGACAAAGUGUGAACUCCACUGACAGUGGCCCCAGCCAGGAAUUGAUUUUUUGUCUCAUCAACAUUGUAACAAAAAGACAUUGAAUAAAACAACAUUAUUCAACGACCUAAUUAUAUUGCUCCUACAACCUAGCUGCCGU